AGAGCGCCGUCGACCCCACGCCACGCAGAGGUGAAGAUACGCAGGACGUCCUCUAAAGCAACUUCCGUGGGUGCCAGGUUGUGGGCUGGGGGCGGUGCUGACCUUGAGAGAGCGGAGGAGGCGCAGGCGCAGCACAGGUACGUGGGCGGGCGGAUCGUGGUGGCUGCGCUUGCGAGGACCCUGAGGUAGAUUGGGUGGUUUCAACAGGAACGCAUCCACUGUCUGAGAGUUUAAACUUGAUUUUGUGAGGGGACGAACAGCGUGACAAUUAAAAGAAGAUCUGGGAAUCAAAAGCUUCCUGAGGCCUUCACCAGAAGCAGAUGCUGGUGCCGUGCUUCUACAGCCUGCAGAACUGUGAGCCAAAUAAAGUUCUUUCCUUUAUAAAUUACCCAGCGUCAGGUAUUGUUUUAUAGCAAUGCAGAACAGACUAACACAGACACACACACCAACCAAGUACAGUAUGAGAAGGGAUUAUUGGGUGCCAUUUUGGAGGUUGUCUACCACAGGAUUUUAUCUGUAUCAUUAUUCAAAUUUCGUUUUUGAAAAAUUUUGUAAGGGCACAUUUAUAGAAAUAUGAAUGCUUAAUAUUUGAUGAUAUUAGGGAAUUAAACCAUUUUUGUGUGAUAGUAAUUUUUAAAGAUUCCUUAUCUUUUAGAAAUACAUAUUGAAAUAUUUAGAGAUGUAGUGAUAUAAUGUCUGGGGUAUGCUUCAAGAUAAGAGUUGCAGAAAGUGGGUGGUAGUAUAAAUCAAGAUUGGUUAUGAGUUGAGAAUUUUUGAGUAAUAGGUAUAUGGGGACUAAGUAUUCUAUUCUUCAUACUUUUACAUGCCGUAAAUCCCCACUUAUCUGCAGGGAAUGUGUUCCAAGACCCCCAGUGGAUGCCUGAAACUGAGAAUAGUACUGGACCCUGUAUAUACUGUGUUUUUUCUUUCCUUAUUGAGAACUUUUAUGUUUUCACUUAAAGGAAGGACUUUACAGCUUCUCUUUCGCAUAUCCAAAUUGCCAGCAUCACCGCUCUUGCACUCCAAGCCAUUAUUAAGUAAAGUAAAGAACACAAACACUGUGAUACUGCUACACUUGAUCUGAUAACCAAGAAGUCUACUAAGUGACUAACAGGUGGGUAGCAUAUACAGCAUAGAUACACUGGACAAAGGGAGGACUCACAUCCUGGGCAAGAUGGAGCAGAAUGGCAGAGUUCAUCAUGCUGCUCAAAAUGAUGUGCAAUUUAAAACUAAUGAAUUAUUUCUGGAAUUUUUCAGUUAAUAUUUUUGGACAUGAGGUGACUGCAGUUAACUAAAACCAUGGAAAGCAAACCCAUAGAUAAAGGGAUACUAUGAGCAACUGGGAACCUAAUUCUGACCAAAAAGGAGGAAUUGUUUGGCUAAUUGGAAGUGACAGAAACCUUGGGAGAAAGCAACCGCAUACCAAGGAUAAUUAUAAGAAGAAGAGAAGACAUGGAGAAGAGGAGGGAGUAGUUGUGACCGUGGAGGCAGAGAAUGGAGUAAUGUGAUCAUAAAUCAAGGAAUGCUGACAGCCACUAAAGCUGGAGAAGGCCAAGGACAGAUAUUCAAUCCUCCCGUAGAAGUACAGCCCUGCUAAUGCAUUGAUUUUGGACUUCUGGCCUCAGAACUGUCUGGAAAGCAUGGAAAUUUGUAUCUUCAUUCACUUUUGUUUUCAUGGACUCUUUUCAUGUUUGAACUUUUCAUGGU
This 1707-nucleotide long non-coding RNA is filed under the name Homo sapiens (human). Its description in RNAcentral is "non-protein coding TMEM161B-AS1:53". The record is from RNAcentral. Lineage: Eukaryota; Metazoa; Chordata; Mammalia; Primates; Hominidae.